GGGCAAUGCUUGUAGGUGGGAAUACUUAACACAGAAGACACCAUGAAAAACACAGCUUCCAGUUGCCAGGUCCAGCACUUUCAUGUCUGAAACCACAAACCUUGAUGCAUCGAUUCAGCUCAGCUCUAGUUUUCCUGCAGAAUCUGCCAUCGCAUACAGCCAUGAAGCUCCCAUUAUUCAGUUUGGAAGCGCUUAGAAUCACGAAGGAGAUGGUGAAGCAUUUCCAUGAGUUUGUGUCCACAAGGCUCGGUUCCCUCUCCAAGUGUACAGCAGAUCUGUUCAGACGCUCUUACUUGUUUCUGGUAUUCAAAAGCAAUCCUUUGGUAGUCCAGCUUAUUUACCUCAUGUCAAUAUCUUUUGCUGGUUUCCUUGCUCUGAAGAACCUCGCACCACUGAAUAAGCCAUCUCCAAGGAACUUGGAUCUGAUAUUCACCUCUGUGUCCACAGUGACGGUGUCAAGCAUGGCAACAAUUGAGAUGGAGGACUUCUCUGGCCAGCAGCUCUGGGUUUUCAUCAUACUGAUGAUAUUGGGAGGAGAAGUGUUCACUUCUAUGGUAGGGCUGCACUUCAAAAAUGCUCGGGCAAACACUGAGGGUGCUCUCCAGACAAGAUUGGCUUUCAUAAGCAGGGACAUCGAAUCCUCUGAUGAUUUCAACAACAGCAGUCAGAAUUAUAUGGAAGGCAUCCAGCCAGAGGAAACCAUGCCACACAACCAGGUACAGGAAAGCAAAGGGAUGAAUCAUAAAUCUCGCAAUAUUUUGGCUCAUGUAGUAGCAGGCUAUUUCAUAGCCGCAAUAGUUUGCAGCUCUGUAGUCAUUACCAUCUUCCUAUGGAUUGACUCCGAUGCAAGGCAUCUACUGAAGAGUAAGCAUAUCAAAAUGUGGACAUUCUCAAUCUUCACAGCAGUAUCAUCAUUUGCAAACUGUGGCUUCACUCCGUUAAAUGAUAGCAUGGCAAUUUUCAAAAAUAACCCGACUUUCCUUCUUCUAGUUACCCCACAGAUUCUUGUAGGCAACACUUUGUUUGCGCCACUGUUGAGGUUAAGCAUAUGGACCUUGGGAAAGCUGAGCAGCAGAGAAGAGUACGCCUACAUCCUUCAGCACCCAAAGGAGAUUGGAUACAGGCAUUUGCAACCUCAUAAGAAUUCUGUCCAAUUGGUUCUGACUGGGGUGAUGCUAAUUUUGCUGCAAGCGAUGCUUAUUUGUUAUUUUGAAUGGGAUUCGAAAUCCUUGGAGGGAAUGGGAUGGUUCCAGAAAUUGAUAGGCUCUCUGUUCCAGAGUGCCAAUUCAAGACACGCUGGUGAAACUGUCAUUGACAUCUCGACCCUUUCUCCACCGAUUAUGGUGAUAUUUGCACUUGUCAUGUACCUUCCUUCUGGUACUUCAAUCCUUGCUACAUGUGGUGAUAACCGAAGCUUAGCGGAUAAAAAGGAAAAUCCGAAUGGCAGAGCAACGUGGAAGAAGUUUGCCAUGACCAAGCGUACUUGUUUAGUAAUAAUCACGAUUUUGGCAUGUAUAACUGAGAGGAAGUCAAUGACUGCCGAUCCACUCAAUUUCAGCAUCUUCAGCGUAAUAUUCGAAGUGAUGAGAGACGCCUCGUACGGGUUCGUCGGCAGAUGGAGCGACAAAGGGAGACUGAUCAUCAUCCUGGUGAUGUUCCUCGGAAGGUUCAAGGCGUACACCCUCAGAGGGAAGAAAACCCUGAAUGUGCAUCCAUGUAGAAGGACAGCACCGCAUCAGAGGCCAGAGGUGGCUGGAAAUUAGGAGCCUGCAUAAGAUGGACCCUGAGCGUGUAGAUCGGCUCGAAUGGCACCGCUUUGGGCGUGACCAAAGGAGAAUGUAUUAUAGCAACCCUAAACGACCAGAGAUGUUCAUAGCGUUAGCUGUAAUGUUGUAAGAUCUUCACCCUGGAUACCUGUAGCCUGUAGGCAGUGGUGGUAUGAAACCCUGAGGAAGAGGAGGGCUUGGAUGGAUGGGAUGGGAUGCGAUGCGACGCAGUUCAGCGAGGGAGAUCGAGCUCCCGCGCCGUGCCGCGCCACCACCGAGGUGCUUUCCGGCUCCACGGAGAUCUGGCUUCCGCAGUUACGUCGCCGCCGGGAUCGCCGUCGCGAGUUCUCUGUUCCUCUCUUCUUUUUUUUUUUUUUGAGAGGACUCUGUUCCUCUUUCGGGUGGAGCGAAUUUCACCCGGUGCAAUAAACCCCUUCCGUACAUUAAACUGCACUUAUUGAUUCAUUAGCGCAUGAGUUAUUUGUGAAGCUCUCAGUCACACUUUGGACAAUUUGGGCGGCAAGGAGGAAAGCCAUACAUGAAGGAAUAUUUCAGAGUCCCC
Molecule: ribosomal RNA, 2328 nt
Filed under: Triticum aestivum (bread wheat)
Lineage: Eukaryota; Viridiplantae; Streptophyta; Magnoliopsida; Poales; Poaceae
Description: partial small subunit ribosomal RNA
Source: RNAcentral